AGAGAAUGGAGUUAUAGGAGCCCCUGAUAUCUUAAUGUAAGUCUCUUACUGUGAUAUCUUUCCUCUCAUUAAAGGUUAAGUGCCAUCCUCUGAUAACUGCUUUUGAAAAAAAAUGCAUCUAAAAAUUCUCAACAAAGCUCCUGGUUUCAAGAACCUGCUUGAGCUCUUAAGUGCUGAAUGCUUUCAUGAGCAUGGGCCACUUGUGCUGUCCAGAAUUGUAACCACUGAAGAGAGCGAGGCCUCCUGCAGCUGCAGAAGCAGAGACCACAAGCACCUCUGGGUGAUGGGUGUCAGCAAAGAGGCGGAAACUAGCAAGAGCCCGCUCCUGGUGUAGCAGCUUCCUGCACAAACAGCCCCUUGUAAAUUUUUUUUCCUCCACCCUUUACCACAAUAUUGUAUUCAAAUUCCUGUUACAGAUUUCACCGCUGUGGUUUCCCUUUUCCUGACUAAACUCUAGCAGGUUGAGUGCUUAAUACCAGUAGUUUCAGAAA
RNAcentral lists this long non-coding RNA (491 nucleotides) under Dasypus novemcinctus (nine-banded armadillo). RNAcentral's name for it is "lncRNA (ENSDNOG00000050030.1)". The record is from RNAcentral. Lineage: Eukaryota; Metazoa; Chordata; Mammalia; Cingulata; Dasypodidae.